GGCCACAUUACAUUGAAACAUUGGUUCCCAUAUGAUCACUGAAGUUAAGCAACAUCAAGCCUGGUUAGUACUUGGAUGGGUGAGUGCUUGGAAAUACCACAUACUGUAAG
Acanthosepion pharaonis is the source of this 110-nucleotide non-coding RNA. Lineage: Eukaryota; Metazoa; Mollusca; Cephalopoda; Sepiida; Sepiidae. The record is from the annotation of a GenBank genome assembly.